GCUUGCGUGGUGUAAUGGUUAGCAUUGCUGCCUUCCAAGCAGCAGAUUCGGGUUCAAUUCCCGACGCAAGCA
Molecule: transfer RNA, 72 nt
Rfam family: tRNA
About the family: Transfer RNA (tRNA) molecules are approximately 80 nucleotides in length.
Source: Rfam